UAAGACGUAGGAUCCGAGCGUUGUCCGGAGUUACUGGGCGUAAAGGGCGCGCAGGCGGAUACGCGCAUCGGCGGUGAAAGCCCCCCGCUCAACGGGGGAGGGUCCGUCGAGAUGGCGUGUCUGGAGGCAGGGAGAGGCCAGUGGAAUUCCGGGUGUAGUGGUGAAAUGCGUAGAGAUCCGGAGGAACACCAGUGGCGAAGGCGGCUGGCUGGACCUGACCUGACGCUGAGGCGCGAAGGCGUGGGGAGCGAACGGG
RNAcentral lists this ribosomal RNA (256 nucleotides) under uncultured archaeon. RNAcentral's name for it is "partial 16S ribosomal RNA". It matches the Rfam family "Bacterial small subunit ribosomal RNA", at positions 521 to 776 of the family's 1533-position model. The record is from RNAcentral.